CCUAGGGAGGCAGCAGUGGGGAAUUUUGGACAAUGGGCGCAAGCCUGAUCCAGCCAUGCCGCGUGCGGGAAGAAGGCCUUCGGGUUGUAAACCGCUUUUGUCAGGGAAGAAAUCCUUUGGGCUAAUACCUCGGAGGGAUGACGGUACCUGAAGAAUAAGCACCGGCUAACUACGUGCCAGCAGCCGCGGUAAUACGUAGGGUGCGAGCGUUAAUCGGAAUUACUGGGCGUAAAGCGUGCGCAGGCGGUUAUGCAAGACAGAUGUGAAAUCCCCGGGCUUAACCUGGGAACUGCAUUUGUGACUGCAUAGCUCGAGUACGGCAGAGGGGGAUGGAAUUCCGCGUGUAGCAGUGAAAUGCGUAGAUAUGCGGAGGAACACCGAUGGCGAAGGCAAUCCCCUGGGCCUGUACUGACGCUCAUGCACGAAAGCGUGGGGAGCAAACAGGAUUAGAUACCCUGGUAGUCCACGCCCUAAACGAUGUCAACUGGUUGUUGGACGGCUUGCUGUUCAGUAACGAGCUAACGCGUGAGUUGACCGCCUGGGGAGUCGGCGCAAGGUUGAAACUCAAGGAUUGAGGCUUGNGAGNGCGAGCGACGACGAGGAGGAGG
Molecule: ribosomal RNA, 608 nt
Filed under: uncultured bacterium
Lineage: Bacteria
Description: bacterial SSU rRNA
Rfam family: Bacterial small subunit ribosomal RNA
Source: RNAcentral